UACGUAGGUGGCAAGCGUUAUCCGGAAUUACUGGGCGUAAAGCGCACGCAGGCGGCUCUUUAAGUUUGACGUGAAAGCUCCUGGCUUAACUGGGAGAGGUCGUUGAAGACUGGAGAGCUUGAGGCAAUGAGAGGGGUGUAGAAUUCCCGGUGUAGUGGUGGAAUGCGUAGAUAUCGGGAGGAAUACCAGUGGCGAAAGCGGCACCCUGGCAUUGGCCUGACGCUCAUGUGUGAAAGCGUGGGGAGCGAAC
This 250-nucleotide ribosomal RNA is filed under the name uncultured bacterium. Its description in RNAcentral is "partial 16S ribosomal RNA". It matches the Rfam family "Bacterial small subunit ribosomal RNA", at positions 524 to 773 of the family's 1533-position model. The record is from RNAcentral.